RNAcentral lists this unclassified non-coding RNA (1609 nucleotides) under Homarus americanus (American lobster). Its description in RNAcentral is "aDP-dependent glucokinase-like, transcript variant X2". Lineage: Eukaryota; Metazoa; Arthropoda; Malacostraca; Decapoda; Nephropidae. The record is from RNAcentral.
UGUUUACAUGUGACGGUGGCAGCCAUGGAGACUAGCAAGAUCUUCACUACCUUACUCUCUCUUGUUGUGUUAUUCGCUGCUAUUUGGUUUAGUCGUGAUGACGGCUACUCAGUAUUACCUAAUAAACUUCAACAAGUCCUUCACGCCAUGCUUGAGGUUGAACAGCAGUAUCAUGUGGGUGAGGUGCAAAUCGCUGUUGGCUAUGGAGCGUGUAAGGAUAUUUUUGUGCAGGGGUCACUCUUAAUGGGUGCUAUGACUCCACCUCAGCGUACGGCACACUUCAGCCGUAUAGACUCCAUCGAGCAGCUCAAAGAAAUGUAUGCCCUCUUUUAUACUGCUGGAUCUGCUGCUGAACGGUAUGUGGGAAAUGAGACUCUCUUCAGUGAGACGUUAGCUGCAGCAGAAGCAGUACCAGGGUCUUAUUCAACCUUGGGGGGUAAUGCACCAGUCAUGGCAUCACGGUUUGCUUCAGAAGGAGCCAAAGUGCUUCUUGCAGCCAAACGUACCCCUUACAUAAUGCAGAAAAUUAACUCUAAUAUCAUUGUUGGAGGUGUAGAAACAGAAGGUGCUGAUGACAUCCACCUCAUCUUGGAGUACAAGGCGGGAGAGAGCUGGGGUACCUACCAGGCUCCACGAGCUAACAGGUUCAUCAUGCAUAGUGAUGAUAGCAACCCAACUUUAAGCACAGUGGAAUAUUUUGGUGAGCAGCUGACAGCAUUUAAGCCACACUUGUUUGUGGUUGGUGGACUACAGAUGAUGGAUAACUUUCCUUUUGCACCUGGAGUACGUGAGGAGCGUUUAAUUGCUGUCAGAGACCAAAUAGUGUCGCUACCAGUCACUACUCGAGUCCAUUUUGAAAUGGCCUCCUUUACUGACACUGAUCUUCUGACUGGCCUCAUACAGCAUGUCAUUCCAUAUGCUGACUCUCUUGGAAUGAACGAACAGGAAUUACCAAAUCUGUACAGUAUGGUGAAAUACGGGAAUGUGAGUUUAGUGUCAGACUUCAACCCACGAGUAGCGGUGGUGCUUGACCAGAUGAGGGAGGUGUUCCAAUUACUGCGAGAAACUGAAGAGAAAGGAGGGAAACGCCACUUGACGAGGUUGCAUCUACACACUCUGGCCUACCAGGCCAUCAUGGUGUUGAAGGAUUCACCGUGGAAGAACACACUAGCAGCUAGUAUCAAGGCUGCUCUUACUGCUAACCGCCAUGUUUGUGGUAAUACUGAGUUUUCUGAGAUGCCUCCUGCUAGAACUGCUUGAGCCUCACACACAGUCACCACUAGAAGUUAUUACUAGAGCACUAAAAGUGUCACUGAAUCACAAAUAAAGAGUGAACAGUAUAAAUUAUGGCAGAGCAGAGACACGACAUGGGCAUGUUGAUGGAACAAGUCUCCAUAUCACACUCUGCACAAGAGUUCAUGUGAGCCAAGUCAUCACAGAGGCAGGGAGCGACCUCGCAUCAUCACUUGCUGAUCACAUAAGUAUAGAUAAUGCUCGAAUGCUGAUGGACGAUGGUUUCACGUUGUCUGAGGCUGAGGGUGCUGGCAGGGUUUUAUUUGACAACCACCGACCUGUGUCUUGCUGGACUGAAGAUGAUGGCAAAGUAGAG